Molecule: long non-coding RNA, 1962 nt
Organism: Artibeus jamaicensis (Jamaican fruit-eating bat)
Lineage: Eukaryota; Metazoa; Chordata; Mammalia; Chiroptera; Phyllostomidae
Exons: 3
Source: RefSeq, a predicted model, not a curated record
CUUCUCCCGCCUGGGUCAUUUUAAAGUCUCCCGAGCCAGCCACCCCUUCCCUAGAACGGCCUGGCUAGAUUCCUCUGUGGAGCUUUCAGAUUUUUAUCCCUUGUUGGCAAGGAGGUCUUCUUACUCCAAGGUCCCUUGCUAUUGUGCAAGGGACUCCUGGAUCGCCACGGUCUAAAUGCACGGGAUUGGCUGCAGCACGACCGGCAAACCCAGCCCAGAGGAACGAUCUAGCGACCUCGGAGAGUCCAGGGGCUGCCAGCGCAGUCCCAACCCUCUGGUGACCGGGCACCCCAUCACCAAAAGAAGGCAAAGUUCCGAAGUGAAAAAUGAAGCGCCGUUCCCUUCAACAAGGUCCCUCAAGAUCGCCUUCCAGUCUCCACCCUCUGGAGAAGAGGCAAGUCAGAGGACACACAACCUAGAGCCAAACUGACCAUGUGAUUGGAGAGUUGGAACUUUCAGUCCCACACCCCUGAUCUUUGGGGAGGACAAAGGAACUGGAGAUUGAGAUCACCAAUGGCCCAUGAUUCAUCAAUCAUGCCUUUGUCACGAAGCCUACAUAAAAACCAGAAAGGACUGGAGGCCAGGAAAGGAGUUUGAAGAACUUCCAGGUUGCUGAACACUUGGAGAUUUGGACCCAGAGAGAGUGAAAGCUCUGCACCCCUACCUGGUAUCUUGCCCUAUAUAUGCAUCUCUCCUGUCUGGCAGUUCCUAAGUUAUAUCCUUUUAUAAUAAUCUAAUAAACUGAGGCUCAAAGAGGUUGUGACUUUUCUGAGGUCGUACAGCCAGGACCCAUACAGCUGGGACUUGUGCUCGGACUUCUGGCUGGCCAUCCUAUGCACUUUCUCCUGCACCUGCUGGCUUCCUGCAUUAAAAAGAGGACAAGAUGCUCCCUGGGCACCCAUGCUUUAUUGUCACAUCUACUGAACUCAUUGGUGGGUGAGCCGUAUCCAUUUCCUGAGCUCCUAAAACAUGAGACAGAACAUGUUCAAAAGGUGGUGCAUAAUUAUAGAUAACAUAUAGGCAUUUAGGCUGAGUCAGGUGCUUUGCUAGGCCUUCAAGAGAUCUUAUCUCUAAUACUCUUAUCUGCCAUAAAGGGAUAGGUGUUAUGCCUAUUUACAGAUGAGGAAGUAGCCUCAGAGAAGCUAGUUUGCGCAAGGUCACCUGCUGUAUCUGGAAAUUCUCUAGCCCCUCACUGUGGGGGUUGGAAACAGUGCACUGUGCACAGGGUUUGACAUCAGACACGCCGUGGUUCAAGUACUGGCCUCUCCACCUGCCUGCUGUAUGACCAUGAGCUCUGAACAUGUUCUCACAUCUGAAAAAUGAAAGAAGGAACCUCUCAUUCAGAGAGUGCUCUCCAGGGGACUAAAUAUCAGGCCCACCCAAGGUCAGGCUGGUGGGAAUGGUGGCUGGGCACCCAGCAGAUCCAAGAAGGUGCCAAUGGCCGUGAGGCUGGGAGAAGAGGGCCAGGUAGGAAAGCAGUGUGUGUGCCAGAGGGGACGGUGUUUCAACCUCAGCAUUUUCUCCUUUGUUAGUCUGGUCAGGUGGUGCCAGCAAAAAUCUGUAGUUGUAGAUUUUGGAAAACAAGGUGUGGUUUCUUCAAAAUUUCUUAGGCAUAAUAAAAUCCUCCACUGAAGCCAAUUUAUUAUCUGCCUGUUUAUUACAAUUCAACACCUUUGUGUCUGUCUGUCUGUUUGUCUGUCUGUGUCUCUCUUUCUCCACAUCCCAGUAUUUAGUAGAAGAUUCUUUGUAGGGUACAGUCCUCCCUGUAUGACCCCUGGCCUGCAAGGUGAAAGUGGGCAGUAUGCUCAAGGCCAUACCGCAUGCCUCGGCAUGUGCCUGAGUUUGGUAGCUUGAGCUCCAACCAGAGAGAGCACUUUAGAAAUGAAAAUGCACUGUCAUCCCAACAGUGAAUGGUGUGCGAUGCUCUGUGCCAAGCCACAGCCCAGAGGCAAGGCACAUGGU